AGAGUUUGAUCAUGGCUCAGAACGAACGCUGGCGGCAUGCCUAACACAUGCAAGUCGAACGAUAAGCCGUCUUCGGAUGGUGGACAGUGGCGCACGGGUGAGUAACACGUGGGGACCUGCCUGAUAGUAAGGAAAAACAGUUGGAAACGGCUGCUAAUACCUUAUACGCCCUUCGGGGGAAAGAUUUAUCGCUAUCAGAUGGACCCGCGCUAGAUUAGAUAGUUGGUGAGGUAAUGGCUCACCAAGUCUGCGAUCUAUAGCUGGUUUGAGAAGAUGAUCAGCCACAUUGGGACUGAGACACGGCCCAAACUCCUACGGGAGGCAGCAGUGGGGAAUAUUGUACAAUGGACGCAAGUCUGAUACAGCAAUGCCGCGUGAGUGAAGAAGGCCUUAGGGUUGUAAAACUCUUUCGCUAGGGAAGAUAAUGACGGUACCUAGUAAAGAAGUCCCGGCUAACUCCGUGCCAGCAGCCGCGGUAAUACGGAGGGGACUAGCGUUGUUCGGAAUUACUGGGCGUAAAGAGUUCGUAGGCGGAUGAGCAAGUAAGAGGUGAAAGCCCAGGGCUCAACCCUGGAACUGCCUUUUAAACUGCUUAUCUAGAGACUGAUAGAGGUUAGGGGAAUACCUAGUGUAGAGGUGAAAUUCGUAGAUAUUAGGUGGAACACCAGUGGCGAAGGCGCCUAACUGGAUCAGUACUGACGCUGAGGAACGAAAGCGUGGGGAGCAAACAGGAUUAGAUACCCUGGUAGUCCACGCCGUAAACGAUGAGUGCUAGAUGUUGGAAGGCUUAGCCUUUCAGUGUCGCAGCUAACGCAUUAA
RNAcentral lists this ribosomal RNA (819 nucleotides) under bacterium endosymbiont of Osedax mucofloris. RNAcentral's name for it is "bacterial SSU rRNA". It matches the Rfam family "Bacterial small subunit ribosomal RNA", at positions 8 to 863 of the family's 1533-position model. The record is from RNAcentral.